RNAcentral lists this transfer RNA (72 nucleotides) under Flavobacteriales bacterium. RNAcentral describes it as "tRNA-Gln". It matches the Rfam family "tRNA". From Rfam's summary of the family: Transfer RNA (tRNA) molecules are approximately 80 nucleotides in length. Their secondary structure includes four short double-helical elements and three loops (D, anti-codon, and T loops). Further hydrogen bonds mediate the characteristic L-shaped molecular structure. tRNAs have two regions of fundamental functional importance: the anti-codon, which is responsible for specific mRNA codon recognition, and the 3' end, to which the tRNAs corresponding amino acid is attached (by aminoacyl-tRNA synthetases). tRNAs cope with the degeneracy of the genetic code in two manners: having more than one tRNA (with a specific anti-codon) for a particular amino acid; and 'wobble' base-pairing, i.e. permitting non-standard base-pairing at the 3rd anti-codon position. RNAcentral also lists the same sequence under 3 other names. Lineage: Bacteria; Pseudomonadati; Bacteroidota; Flavobacteriia; Flavobacteriales. The record is from RNAcentral.
UGGGGCGUCGCCAAGUGGUAAGGCAGCGGAUUUUGGUUCCGCCAUUCGUUGGUUCGAAUCCAGCCGCCCCAG